GAUGAAGAACGUAGCGAAAUGCGAUAAGUAAUGUGAAUUGCAGAAUUCAGUGAAUCAUCGAAUCUUUGAACGCACAUUGCGCCCCUUGGUAUUCCGAGGGGCAUGCCUGUUCGAGCGUCAUUUCAACCCUCAAGCACAGCUUGGUCUUGGGCUUCGCCGCUAACCCGGCGGGUCUUAAAAUCAGUGGCGGUGCCGUCGGGCCCUGAGCGCAGUAAUUUCUCUCGCUAUAGGGUCCCGGCGGAUACUGGCCAGUAACCCCCAAUUUUCUAUGGUUGACCUCGGAUCAGGUAGGGAUACCCGCUGAACUUAAGCAUAUCAAUAAGCGGAGGA
RNAcentral lists this unclassified non-coding RNA (330 nucleotides) under soil metagenome. RNAcentral describes it as "partial contains 5.8S ribosomal RNA, internal transcribed spacer 2, and large subunit ribosomal RNA". The stretch from base 1 to 120 matches the Rfam family "5.8S ribosomal RNA", at positions 35 to 154 of the family's 154-position model. The record is from RNAcentral.